GGGAGGGUAGUCUAGCUUGGUAUGAUUCUCGGCUGGGGGCUGAGAGGUCGUGGGUUCAAAUCCCAUCCCUCCCACCA
This 77-nucleotide transfer RNA is filed under the name Promethearchaeota archaeon. Its description in RNAcentral is "Candidatus Lokiarchaeota archaeon tRNA-Pro". It matches the Rfam family "tRNA". From Rfam's summary of the family: Transfer RNA (tRNA) molecules are approximately 80 nucleotides in length. Their secondary structure includes four short double-helical elements and three loops (D, anti-codon, and T loops). Further hydrogen bonds mediate the characteristic L-shaped molecular structure. tRNAs have two regions of fundamental functional importance: the anti-codon, which is responsible for specific mRNA codon recognition, and the 3' end, to which the tRNAs corresponding amino acid is attached (by aminoacyl-tRNA synthetases). tRNAs cope with the degeneracy of the genetic code in two manners: having more than one tRNA (with a specific anti-codon) for a particular amino acid; and 'wobble' base-pairing, i.e. permitting non-standard base-pairing at the 3rd anti-codon position. Lineage: Archaea; Promethearchaeati; Promethearchaeota. The record is from RNAcentral.